RNAcentral lists this ribosomal RNA (305 nucleotides) under uncultured bacterium. RNAcentral describes it as "bacterial SSU rRNA". It matches the Rfam family "Bacterial small subunit ribosomal RNA", at positions 339 to 642 of the family's 1533-position model. The record is from RNAcentral.
CUACGGGACGCAGCAGUGAGGAAUAUUGGUCAAUGGGCGGGAGCCUGAACCAGCCAAGCCGCGUGAGGGAAGAAGGUACAGCGUAUCGUAAACCUCUUUUGUCAGGGAACAAAGGCGGGGACUAGUCCCCGGAUGAGGGUACCUGAAGAAAAAGCGUCGGCUAACUCCGUGCCAGCAGCCGCGGUAAUACGGAGGAUGCGAGCGUUAUCCGGAUUUAUUGGGUUUAAAGGGUGCGCAGGCGGCCUGUUAAGUCAGCGGUAAAAGCCCGGGGCUCAACCCCGGCGAGCCGUUGAAACUGGCGGGCU